Vicugna pacos (alpaca) is the source of this 121-nucleotide non-coding RNA. Lineage: Eukaryota; Metazoa; Chordata; Mammalia; Artiodactyla; Camelidae. The record is from RefSeq and is a predicted model, not a curated record.
ACACACGCUCUUCUAAAUGUGUUUGUUUUGUUCCUUAUUUCAACUUCUCUAUAAAUCACCCGUGGGGGUUCUGGCACCCACUGUUAAGGUAGUCAGAGAUGGUAAGAGCACACGCCUGAAC